This 484-nucleotide ribosomal RNA is filed under the name uncultured bacterium. Its description in RNAcentral is "partial 16S ribosomal RNA". It matches the Rfam family "Bacterial small subunit ribosomal RNA", at positions 30 to 507 of the family's 1533-position model. The record is from RNAcentral.
AUUGAACGCUGGCGGCAGGCCUAACACAUGCAAGUCGAGCGGAUGAAGGGAGCUUGCUCCUGGAUUCAGCGGCGGACGGGUGAGUAAUGCCUAGGAAUCUGCCUGGUAGUGGGGGAUAACGUCCGGAAACGGGCGCUAAUACCGCAUACGUCUUGAGGGAGAAAGUGGGGGAUCUUCGGACCUCACGCUAUCAGAUGAGCCUAGGUCGGAUUAGCUAGUUGGUGGGGUAAAGGCCUACCAAGGCGACGAUCCGUAACUGGUCGGAGAGGAUGAUCAGUCACACUGGCACUGAGACACGGUCCAGACUCCUACGGGAGGCAGCAGUGGGGAAUAUUGGACAAUGGGCGAAAGCCUGAUCCAGCCAUGCCGCGUGUGUGAAGAAGGUCUUCGGAUUGUAAAGCACUUUAAGUUGGGAGGAAGGGCAGUAAGUUAAUACCUUGCUGUUUUGACGUUACCAACAGAAUAAGCACCGGCUAACUUCGUG